Molecule: transfer RNA, 72 nt
Filed under: Physcomitrium serratum
Lineage: Eukaryota; Viridiplantae; Streptophyta; Bryopsida; Funariales; Funariaceae
Description: Aphanorrhegma serratum partial tRNA-His
Rfam family: tRNA
About the family: Transfer RNA (tRNA) molecules are approximately 80 nucleotides in length. Their secondary structure includes four short double-helical elements and three loops (D, anti-codon, and T loops). Further hydrogen bonds mediate the characteristic L-shaped molecular structure. tRNAs have two regions of fundamental functional importance: the anti-codon, which is responsible for specific mRNA codon recognition, and the 3' end, to which the tRNAs corresponding amino acid is attached (by aminoacyl-tRNA synthetases). tRNAs cope with the degeneracy of the genetic code in two manners: having more than one tRNA (with a specific anti-codon) for a particular amino acid; and 'wobble' base-pairing, i.e. permitting non-standard base-pairing at the 3rd anti-codon position.
Source: RNAcentral
GCGGACGUGGCCAAGUGGAUUAAGGCAGUGGUUUGUGGAGCCACUAUGCGCGGGUUCAAUUCCGUUCGUUCA